RNAcentral lists this long non-coding RNA (361 nucleotides) under Bos taurus (domestic cattle). RNAcentral's name for it is "long non-coding RNA NONBTAT024635". Lineage: Eukaryota; Metazoa; Chordata; Mammalia; Artiodactyla; Bovidae. The record is from RNAcentral.
UGGAACAAAUUUCUGAGAAGACCUAAGCCCAGGACAUAAAUUCAAAAAGCAGCCUCACCUAACAAGUCUUAUUGUUCCAGGACUGGAUUCUUUCUCCAUGAUCUUAGCGAUUCUAAAAAAGCAGUAUUCUUUCAUUAUCCUCAGGAAAUGGACUUCUUGUCACAGGCAUCUCUUUUCACUUAGAUUGUCAAGAGUCUCAUAAUAUUUUAAAAUACUUUAACUCACUUUUUUGGUUAAAAUUAACUUAUACUUGUAGAAAUUUAAAAUUCAGAGAAAUAGUACUUGAAGUAUUUUCUUCUAGUUUUUCCUCUGUAAUUUAAAUAUAGAGGGGAUAUUUCUGUUUAUGGAAUUUCAUAUCCCA